AUGAGCGCCAGCAGAGCCAGCAGCGGGAGUAGGCAGCCAGCGAGCAGGGCCAGCGUCACCAUCCGCCACUGUCAGGCCUGCGCUGGGGGAGGCAGAGGGCUGAGCACCCCCGCACCCCCUCCCGCCACCCUGCUGCGGCCUCCCCUGGGCCCCCUCUGGGUAUUAAAGACCCCAAAGUUUGGGGGAUGUGGGGUGGGGGGCCCAGCGCCCCCCCCGCGCCCCGCGCUUACUGGCCGACCACGCUCUGCCUGGGCUGGGCACCAUGCUGCCCUGGCGGUGGGUGGGUGCGGGGUGCUGGGGGGGACCCCGUGGCUCCAGGGCCUGAGCUGCUUGUGCCCCAGCCCAGCACUCCGGGAGCCUGGGCAGGGGGCAUGGCGCCAUCGCCAUGGUGAUGGAGCCCCCUGGCCGCCAUCUUGGGGCCUUGGGGGCCAUCACCAUGGAGAUGGAGUCCCCUGGCUGCCAUCUUGGGGCCUUGGAAGCUGUCACCAUGGAGAUAGAGCCCCCUGGCCACCAUCUUGGGGCCUUGGGGGCCAUCACCAUGGAGACAGAGCCCCUUGGUGGCCAUCUUGGGGCCCUGGGGGCUGUCACAGAGGACAUGGAGCCCCCCCAGCCGCCAUCUUGCAGCCCAGUGGGUCAGGGGACAGGACCAGGCUGUCACCCCAACCCCCAGCCACCAUCUUGGCCCCGUGGACUGUCACCAUGAAGAUGGUGCCCCCCCCCCCCGGCCACCAUCUUGAGGCCAUGGGGACUGUUGCCAUGGAGAUGGAGCCCCCCCAGUUGCCAUCUUGUGGCCCUGAGGGCCUGGGGUGGCUCCUGCGCACCUCUCACUUCCAUGGGGUUAUUGUAAACCCCCCCCAACACUGCUCCAUGGCGUCGGGGGCCAUUCCAACCCCCACCCCCCAGGGUAUCGAACCCCCCCUCCAAGACAGGGGGUGGCUGUUGCCAUCAGCAACCGACUCCUGGUUCCUUCCCUCGUCACUGUGGCGACGUGUCCGUUGGGGCCAGAGCCCGACCGAUCCCCCCUCGCCGAGCAGCAGGGCGCCAUGGAGGAUCGCAGGAUCGGCUCCCUCCCCCAAUCAGAGGGCCCCCCCUGGCCCUUACAGGGACAACACCCGCGUCGAAGGUGGGGGGACUCUGAUGUGUCCCUGGCUGUGGUGGGACCUCAGGGAUGCAAAAGCUUCCUCAUGUCCCCAGCAACGGUGGGACCUUGGAGGUGCAGGAGAUCCUUUGUGUCCCCAGCCUGUGGUGGGAUCCUGGCAGUGCCAGCUCCCUUGUGCCCCCGGCUGUGGCAGGACCCCGUGGGCACCAGCCCCUCCGUGCCUCGUGUCCUCGACCCCCCCACUUUCCCCACUGCAGGCCACAACUGCAGCACGUGUGACAUCAGGCGGGUGCAGCGUGCCACAAACUGCUACCUCUUCUCGGAGAUGA
Molecule: long non-coding RNA, 1428 nt
Filed under: Apteryx haastii (Great spotted kiwi)
Lineage: Eukaryota; Metazoa; Chordata; Aves; Apterygiformes; Apterygidae
Description: lncRNA (ENSAHAG00000002973.1)
Source: RNAcentral